This 272-nucleotide long non-coding RNA is filed under the name Populus trichocarpa (black cottonwood). RNAcentral's name for it is "long non-coding RNA (PTRI_LNC002004)". Lineage: Eukaryota; Viridiplantae; Streptophyta; Magnoliopsida; Malpighiales; Salicaceae. The record is from RNAcentral.
UCAGAUUUAAACAAGAGGAGAAAUAUCACACAAACAUAGGAGCAUCCGACUUGAUAAGCUAGUAGAGUACUUACAUCAAGAGCUAUCGUCCAACUAAACAAAAUCAACCUUAUCUUUUAUAAUAAUAAUAAUAAUAAUAAUAAUAAUAAUAAUCAUAAACCUGAUCAUUUAUUUCAACCGUGGGCAUAUUUGAGCCUGUAAUGGAUUUUUCAUCACUACUGUGAAUUCUUCCUUCUCAGACAAAUCAACAUCAUCUCCAUCCACAGCUUUCC